Molecule: long non-coding RNA, 1802 nt
Organism: Silurus meridionalis
Lineage: Eukaryota; Metazoa; Chordata; Actinopteri; Siluriformes; Siluridae
Exons: 2
Source: RefSeq, a predicted model, not a curated record
GGGGACACUGCGUCUUUAUACUGUAAGUACAAUUUGACUGUAUUAUUUGUGUCCCCCUUCAAAAAUUGCUCAUGAGAAAUUGUAUAUGUAUUGUCCCCCCUACUCUUAAAUGAAAUUUACGCCCAUGGAGUCAUCCAGUCUUUUAAUUCAUUAAUACACUCAGUUAUCCGAGCUAAUUGAGCUGUAUUGUCUGGUUUUGAUGAGAUAUAUAGCUGGGUAUCAUCAGCAUAACAGUGGAAGUUAAUCCUAUACUUUCUAAUAAUAUUUUCUAAGGGAAGCAUGUAUAUUGUGAAAAGCAGGGGUCCUGGAACUGAACCUUGAGGCAUGCCAUAAUUUACUAGCAUUAACCUGGAUAGCUCCCCAUUUAAGUCUACAAAAUGGUAACGAUCGGACAGGUAGGAUUUAAACCAGCUUAAUGCCUAUCCCUGAAUGAGAAUAAAAUGUUGUAAGCAUUCAGGAGGAGAUCCUCAUCUCUCAGCCUAUUGAUCACUUUUAAAGGUGCUCUUCGUGCUCAUCAAUGUUUAUAUGUUUCUGUUGGAAAUUCUCUGAUUGGGGUAGUGGUUGCACGGAACAGCUGGCGGUAGGUCUCUGGGGAAAUAUCAAACUUUUCCAGCAGAGCCUCUUUGAGGUUAUAAUAUACCUCUGCCCUGUCCUUCAUCAUGGUCAGGUAGGCCACCAGUGCUUGCCCUGUUAACAGAGAAACAAGUGUGUAAGAGAAGUUUUCUAAAGCACUUAGCAAAUAAAGCAUUAUAUAUUUCUAUCAGUCUUUAAACAUCCACACAACAAUAUUCUUAUUUAUAUUGCUUUCUUAUUCUUAAAGAAAAUUUAAACUGAGCCAGUUUUUUUCCAGCAAAAUAACGACGCCAAACACACAGCCAAGAUGACAGCUGCCUUGCUGAGGAAGCUGAAGGUAAAUCAGUGUGCCUUAAGACAUCGACCUGUGUACAUGUGGAGCUAUGCACCCUUUCACCAAGCUCUCCUCACACUGCUUCAGUUAAGGGGCUGCUUUACACCAAGAUGGAUUUCAUGCCAAAGUGAAGACAGCCUGCCAGGAGCAGAGAACUGGCACUGUGGGGUGAGUCUGGACAGAUUGAAGACAGUGAGGGACAACAGGUCACUGAACAAACUCCUGUCUAUCAUGGAAAAUUCAUCUCACCCACUACAUGAGGCAGCGGAGUUCAUUCUUCAACAGACUGAUUCUGACAAAGAACGGUUCAGGAAAUCAUUCCUACCAUUGGCAAUUGCACUGUACAAUGACUUACCUCUAUGUAAAAGAUGAUAAUUGUAACUUAUAUAUAUAAAAUCCCAUUAUUCACUGUCACUUUACACACAUUUUCUUCCUUUUCCUUUCCUUUCUUUUGAAUUGCCAGUUUGCAAUCCAGUUUGUUUUUCUAUGCAGCAUCAUCUGCAAUAUUGUAUUUAUUUACAUCAAUCACAAUCACAUAAUUACAUACUACUAAAUGACGAGUACAUUUUUGUUUUAACAGAAUGCUGUAUCCUCUCUCUCUUAAAAUCUCCAAGGUUAUUGUGGUGGGAGACCUGGCUGAAGGGAAAACAUGUCUUAUUAAUAGGUAAUCAUUACUUAAGUGAAAAAGUAAAGAAGCCACUGUUUAAUGUGUACUCAGAAUGAACUUUUAUUUAACAAAUUAACAGACAGUGAAUUAUACAUUCCUUGUAAGUAUUUUUUCCUCUUUUUAGACAUUUUACAAAUCUAUGCACAAAAAUUGUUCUGCCUUCCUUUCUGUGUGAGAUGUUUAUGCAUAAUCUUGGUACAAGGACGAAAAUAAAACAGUGUCAAUUUA